RNAcentral lists this ribosomal RNA (782 nucleotides) under Flavobacterium sp. 24AGV. RNAcentral's name for it is "bacterial SSU rRNA". It matches the Rfam family "Bacterial small subunit ribosomal RNA", at positions 56 to 845 of the family's 1533-position model. The record is from RNAcentral. Lineage: Bacteria; Pseudomonadati; Bacteroidota; Flavobacteriia; Flavobacteriales; Flavobacteriaceae.
UGCAGUCGAGGGGUAUAGUUCUUCGGAAUUAGAGACCGGCGCACGGGUGCGUAACGCGUAUGCAAUCUACCUUUUACAGAGGGAUAGCCCAGAGAAAUUUGGAUUAAUACCUCAUAGUAUAGCAGUUUCGCAUGAAACCACUAUUAAAGUCACAACGGUAAAAGAUGAGCAUGCGUCCCAUUAGCUAGUUGGUAAGGUAACGGCUUACCAAGGCUACGAUGGGUAGGGGUCCUGAGAGGGAGAUCCCCCACACUGGUACUGAGACACGGACCAGACUCCUACGGGAGGCAGCAGUGAGGAAUAUUGGACAAUGGGCGCAAGCCUGAUCCAGCCAUGCCGCGUGCAGGAUGACGGUCCUAUGGAUUGUAAACUGCUUUUAUACAGGAAGAAACCCUGGUUCGUGAACCAGCUUGACGGUACUGUAAGAAUAAGGAUCGGCUAACUCCGUGCCAGCAGCCGCGGUAAUACGGAGGAUCCAAGCGUUAUCCGGAAUCAUUGGGUUUAAAGGGUCCGUAGGCGGUUUAAUAAGUCAGUGGUGAAAGCCCAUCGCUCAACGGUGGAACGGCCAUUGAUACUGUUAAACUUGAAUUAUUAGGAAGUAACUAGAAUAUGUAGUGUAGCGGUGAAAUGCUUAGAGAUUACAUGGAAUACCAAUUGCGAAGGCAGGUUACUACUAAUGGAUUGACGCUGAUGGACGAAAGCGUGGGUAGCGAACAGGAUUAGAUACCCUGGUAGUCCACGCCGUAAACGAUGGAUACUAGCUGUUGGGAGCAAUCUCAGUG